AUGGCCGUCACGGGGCCCUGGGUCGUUUUCAGGCAUCUGACUCAAUCCAGCUCCAGAUCUUGCUCUUUCUCAGGUGGAUCUUCAGUGAGGACCAUUGCCACAACCAGUGACCGUGACCUGCCUGACCAUCACAACCCCAUGUCCACCUGGUCCACAUCCCCAGACCAGGACUACUUGGCCUUGGUGUGGCUCUGCCUCCACCUGCUGCAGUUGUUCUCCACCUGUGUGGCCUUCUGGCUGGUGAUUUCUGGCCUUCAGAAGUGGAGCGUAGGUGCCAGGGCCGUAAAUAUCUGGGCCUUGCUCAUCUGGUUCCUCUCUUUGCCCAUAAGCCUCAUUGUAGUCAUAGUUGAGUUAUAUUACAUCCAGUUCCACUUUCAUUUCUCAUACCACAUGCCCCUCACAGAUGCCUGCUUCGCUGCUCACGUCUGUUUCUCACUAUACGUGGUCCAGUCUAUACGGAGCCUCGGGUUUUCACUGUAUGGCCCUUUCAUAGACCGGGUCAACGUUGCCCUAUCAUUCACCUACAUUACGUGCUUCUUUUAUGGUGUAGAAGUGUCCUGCAUGUGGAACUGCUACAAGCUCAAGGACCUCACCUGCAGGGUGUGCUAAAGGUGCUGGAGAGCUUUGCUGCCUGUGUCAUCCUCGCCUUCAUCUUCAACACCUCCCGGCACCCGAAGGAGCCAGCUUACUGGUGGUGUCUAGCCAUCUAUUAUUUCUGCUUCGCCCAAGUGACCGUGGCCACGCUGCUGGGCCUGGGCAACUGGGAGUACUGGCUGCCCGUCCAGGUUGUGCUGACCCUGCUCUCUGUCCUCCUCUACUCCUCUGCUUUGGUCCUCUGGUGGCUCACCCAGUAAAUGAGGAGACUGAGAUCAAGCCCGAGGGAUUCUGGCACCUGUACAUAUUGGGGCUCACCCACUGCUCGAGUUGCAGGGACUGUCGACUGGCUGUGGCCAUCCUGACAACCAUCAACCUGCUGAUUUAUGUGGCUGACCUGGUGAUUUCAGCCCGCUAGGUUUUUGUCAAGGACUGAGGAUCAGCCCUCUUGUCAAUGGAGGUUUCUACACUAAGCUCUGAUGUCAUCUUCCUAGCUCCCCUUCUCACACCCUUCCCUGUUCUUCUCUCUAUUUUUUCUUCUUCCUCCUCUCCAUCUGCUCUUUGUCCUGUUUUAUGUGUUUGCCCACACCCUGUUUUGUCUUUCUCUUGCUUCUCUCAUCUUUUCUACAUUUUCUGCCUUUGCCCCUUUUCUGAUCAUCCUUGGUUUUCUUGUCUCCUAUGUCCUGACCAUUUUCCUGCUGAUCCAUCAAGACCAGACUUCUUCCUUCUCUGCCCACCACCCCUUCCCACCUCCUAAGGUGCUGACUUCACAGCACACACCUCUCUGUGUGGCUGUUCACACCCUGGACAUCUGGAGGGGCCUCGUUACCAAAGCAAGUCUCUACCCCUGGCGGUGUCUUGGUGUGUGUGGGUGGGUUUGGGAGUGGGGCGGGUAACUAGGCAUUGGGUCCCAAUUAUCCGAGUAGAGUAAGGGGUGUACUUGUGCCCUCCCUUCAAUUAAAAAAAAAAAAAAAACUCAAGAGGUCAAUUAUUUCCAGUGGGCAGAAGUCUUAAAACAGAGGCCCUGGAUUCCAGGGCCCCACCUGGUGUUCAGCUCCUCUGAGAUUGGCUCCAGAAUUUUUGCAGACUCACUAAACACCCGCUGCCUAGAGGGCAUCUUAGAGGAAGCCAGGUUAAUGCCUUCCAUCCUAACUACCCUCUAGGGAAUCAAAAAAAGGGAGCUGGUGAAGAACCCAGGACCUUGAAGACACUUGUCUGCAGUGUUGGUUGAGGGGCAGCGUUGUGGCCCUCCUGCCUCAGUGUUCAAAACAGCAGGCCCUGCCUCUGCAGGGAGAAGAGCAUGGCCACUGCAGCCUUAAAGGCGAUGUUAGGCUGAGAUUUUUUUUUUCUAUCUUCUGAUCAGGAGGGUAAAAAUUAUUGAGUAACCCUGUACUUAAAAGGGGAAGUUUCUUUUCAGAUUUUCUUGGGCAGGUGGUUUGUGGGGGUGGGGGUUGCUGCUUCCAUUGUCAAAGCAACUGCAGUGCUUGAGUGUGAGGGGACACACACUUGUGUGUUGCUCUGUGCCAGUUGCUUUCUGCUGUUGUUUCUUGGUUCUCUGAGACUCAGGCAUAAUGUGAUCUAGAUCAGUGUAUAUAAUUUUUAAAAAUUCCCUGGAGCUUCUGGUUCCCAUCAGUCCCUGAUGUCAGUCAUAGAGAAAAGGCUUGUCCCUUUGCCUAUAUCCACAAUGUCCCUUUUUAAUCUCAAUAUAAUGAUGAGAGAAGCAAAAUUAAAAAAAUGAGAAAGAUAUUCACAUAUUCUAAUUGCCCCAAUUUGUCUAGAGUGCAGAAGAGUCCAGCCAAUUUCCACCCUCACCCAAAUCUGUUUCUGGAAGCCCUUCCCACUGACUCCCCAUCCACACCUGGAUCAAAGCCUUGGGGUGUGGCCCAGCCUGUGACACAAGACGUGGGGUCCCACCUCAAUGACAACAUCCCAUCCCCCUAACUCUUAAAGGGGCCUUUGCAGGAAGGUGUGUCCUUGUAUGUAUGCAUAGUGCACAUGUGUGUGCAUGCUGUGUGCCCAUGUGCUCCCCUGUAUUGAGACCAGCAGCCCUUUGCAGUAACCGGUGGUUGUGAAGGCCCCACAAGUCUCCUGUCCUCAAUCACAGAGCCUCAGAGCCCAGCAUCCUGGUGUCACCAGGACCAGAGGGGCCAGGCAAGCAGAGCUGCGGGGGAGGGGAGGGGAAGGACCCCCACUUCUGCCUUUCACUCCUGGACUGGGAUGAAGCCAUGUGUUGUUCACCCAGGGGCAGGUGGGAUGGAGCAGGGGGCACUCCCAGGAGGUAGUCCCUAUGGCAGACAAAUCUUAAGAAGCAUUGAAAUAAAAUUAACAUUUUAAGGAAAAACAAGAGAAAUUUAAACAUAAACUUUUGGUUAAAUACUGCAGAGAUCACAUGAAAUAAGCACUGAAAAGUGUCCACUGGAUGUGACCAUUUGAAAGUCAUUGACAGCCUUGCUUAGAGCUUUUCAUGAAGUCCUCAGGACAGAAGCCAGUGCAUUGGAGACAGAGAAAGAGAAGGAAAGACAGUAAAUAUAGGUUUCUCCUGGGGUAGCUAGUGCCUGUGAAGGGAAAGAGAAGGUCACAGUUGGAGAGGAGCCAUGGGUCAAGGGAACCUAGAUGAUAAGUUUGCAAAAGGCCAUUUACUAUUGCUUGACUUCAACCCAAAGGAACAUCCAAAUACUGACCCAAGGUCCAAAGGGGGAAAAUAUUUUUUAAUGCCCAGAACAUGAUAAAAUGUGAAUCCGGGUGACAGUGUAUGAAACCAUUUAUGUAAAUAGUAAAUUUGUUAACUUGUUAUCUGUCUGAAUGGUCCAACUUUUUUGGAGUCAGAACAGGAAAUAAAGAGAAAAAGAGUAAAGGUUAUUAAUGUGAAGAAACUUGUGAUUAUCACUUCAGGGUUACUUACUUCAUGAACCCAGAGCUUCUGUAUAGUAUAUUGGACAGUAGAUGCAUGCGGCUAUUUAAUUUUUUUAAAUCAUAUCCUUUUGUUUUAUUUAUUUAUUUAUUUUAGCCAAGCCAUGCAGCAUGUGGGAUCUUAGUUCCCCAAACAGGGUCUGAACCUGUGCCCCCUGCAGUGGAAGUGCAGUCUUAACCACCAGAGAAGUCCCCUUAUUUUUAACUAAAUAAAAUUCAAUAGAUUGAAACAUGCAAGUCCUCAGUCUUACCAGCCACAUUUCAAGCACCAUAUACCCACUUGUUGGAGGCUACUGUAUUGAACAAGGCAGGUAUAGAAUAUUUCUAUCACUGCAGAAAGUUCUACUGGGGACUUCCCUGGUGGUCCAGUGGUUAAAAAUCCACCUUGCAAUGCAGGGAAUGUGGGUUCAAUUCCUGGUUGGGGAAGUAAGAUUCCACAUGUCAUGAAGCAACUAAGCCUGCAUGCCACGACUACUGAGCCCAUGUGCAUCAACUAGAGACUCCAUGCACCACAGCCAAAGGUCCCAUGUGAUGCAACUAAGACCCGAUGAAGCCAAAUAAGUGAAUAAAUAAAUAUUUUAAAA
Odocoileus virginianus texanus is the source of this 4088-nucleotide non-coding RNA. NCBI's taxonomy places the organism in Eukaryota, Metazoa, Chordata, Mammalia, Artiodactyla, Cervidae. The record is from RefSeq and is a predicted model, not a curated record.